This 397-nucleotide ribosomal RNA is filed under the name uncultured bacterium. RNAcentral describes it as "bacterial SSU rRNA". It matches the Rfam family "Bacterial small subunit ribosomal RNA", at positions 28 to 428 of the family's 1533-position model. The record is from RNAcentral.
GACGAACGCUGGCGGCGUGCUUAACACAUGCAAGUCGAGCGAGGGGCUCCCUUCGGGGAGUCACCUAGCGGCGAACGGGUGAGUAACACGUGGGCAACCUGCCCUCAGCUCUGGGAUAACCCCCGGAAACGGGAGCUAAUACCGGAUAUGACCUCUUAAGACAUCUUUUGAGGUGGAAAGAAUUUCGGCUGAGGAUGGGCCCGCGGCCUAUCAGCUUGUUGGUGGGGUAAUGGCCUACCAAGGCGACGACGGGUAGCCGGCCUGAGAGGGCGACCGGCCACACUGGGACUGAGACACGGCCCAGACUCCUACGGGAGGCAGCAGUGGGGAAUAUUGCGCAAUGGGCGAAAGCCUGACGCAGCGACGCCGCGUGAGGGAUGAAGGCCUUCGGUUGUAA